GUGGGGAAUCUUCCGCAAUGGACGAAAGUCUGACGGAGCGACGCCGCGUGAGUGAAGAAGGCCUUCGGGUCGUAAAGCUCUGUCAUCAGGGACGAACGGCCGGUGGAGUGGAAAGCCACCGGAUUGACGGUACCUGAGAAGGAAGCCACGGCUAACUACGUGCCAGCAGCCGCGGUAAUACGUAGGUGGCAAGCGUUGUCCGGAAUUAUUGGGCGUAAAGCGCGCGCAGGUGGGAUCUUAAGUCCAUUUUGAAAGUUCGGAGCUCAACUCCGUGAUGGGAUGGAAACUGGGAUUCUUGAGUACCGGAGAGGAAAGCGGAAUUCCCCGUGUAGCGGUGAAAUGCGUAGAGAUGGGGAGGAACACCAGUGGCGAAGGCGGCUUUCUGGACGGUGUCUGACACUGAGGCGCGAAAGCCAGGGGAGCGAACGGGAUUAGAAACCCCAGUAGUCC
RNAcentral lists this ribosomal RNA (450 nucleotides) under uncultured bacterium. Its description in RNAcentral is "partial 16S ribosomal RNA". It matches the Rfam family "Bacterial small subunit ribosomal RNA", at positions 354 to 796 of the family's 1533-position model. The record is from RNAcentral.